Non-coding RNA from Sporosarcina psychrophila, 128 nucleotides. The record is from Rfam. NCBI's taxonomy places the organism in Bacteria, Bacillati, Bacillota, Bacilli, Caryophanales, Caryophanaceae.
AAAACCUUUUAACACUGUUCCGAGAGUCAGGGAAAGGUUCGUUUGACACCCAUUCUGCACAAUAAGUGUAGGGUUUGGAUUGUCAUACCUAACGAGCCUUUCCAUUUAUCGGGAAGGCUCGUUUUUCA